CGGGCGUCGAGUGGCGACUGCCGUUUCUUCGGUGUACAAUCGAGUUCUCGGGUAAAGCCGACGAUUGAUCGUAAUUCUGACGACAGCUUCAAUAUUUCUCUACGAUAAUUCACAAUUGAAUAGCAUUCAAUAAAUAUAAUGGCGAAGAUACUGUUUGGACUUAUUGCUGUUCUGUUUAUCAUUGCGAUGAUACAUGCCGCGGAUGCAAAGAAAAAAGAUUAUGAGUUAUGCACCUAUAAUAGUGAUUGCUAUUCGGACAACUGCGCUCCAUUUACAUAUAACUCGGGGGUAACACAGUAUGUAUGCCAAUACAAAUACGAUCCAAGUCGUGGAUACAAAUAAAAAAAACCACAUGAUUGAAGAAGACAAUAGACAUUUUUAUAAUUUUAAUUACCUUCUCUUGAAUAAUUAUCUUUAAUAAACCAAUAAAAAAUAAUGAAAACAA
Molecule: long non-coding RNA, 445 nt
Organism: Microplitis demolitor
Lineage: Eukaryota; Metazoa; Arthropoda; Insecta; Hymenoptera; Braconidae
Exons: 4
Source: RefSeq, a predicted model, not a curated record